RNAcentral lists this ribosomal RNA (460 nucleotides) under uncultured bacterium. RNAcentral describes it as "partial 16S ribosomal RNA". It matches the Rfam family "Bacterial small subunit ribosomal RNA", at positions 338 to 795 of the family's 1533-position model. The record is from RNAcentral.
CCUACGGGGGGCUGCAGUGAGGAAUAUUGGUCAAUGGACGAGAGUCUGAACCAGCCAAGUAGCGUGAAGGAUGACUGCCCUAUGGGUUGUAAACUUCUUUUAUAUGGGAAUAAAAUGUUCCACGUGUGGGAUUUUGUAUGUACCAUAUGAAUAAGGAUCGGCUAACUCCGUGCCAGCAGCCGCGGUAAUACGGAGGAUCCGAGCGUUAUCCGGAUUUAUUGGGUUUAAAGGGAGCGUAGGUGGAUUGUUAAGUCAGUUGUGAAAGUUUGCGGCUCAACCGUAAAAUUGCAGUUGAAACUGGCAGUCUUGAGUACAGUAGAGGUGGGCGGAAUUCGUGGUGUAGCGGUGAAAUGCUUAGAUAUCACGAAGAACUCCGAUUGCGAAGGCAGUUCACUGGACUGCAACUGACACUGAGGCUCGAAAGUGUGGGUAUCAAACAGGGUUAGAUACCCGAGUAGUC